Molecule: ribosomal RNA, 427 nt
Filed under: uncultured bacterium
Lineage: Bacteria
Description: partial 16S ribosomal RNA
Rfam family: Bacterial small subunit ribosomal RNA
Source: RNAcentral
UGGGGAAUAUUGGACAAUGGGCGAAAGCCUGAUCCAGCCAUGCCGCGUGUGUGAAGAAGGUCUUCGGAUUGUAAAGCACUUUAAGUUGGGAGGAAGGGCAGUAAGCUAAUACCUUGCUGUUUUGACGUUACCGACAGAAUAAGCACCGGCUAACUCUGUGCCAGCAGCCGCGGUAAUACAGAGGGUGCACGCGUUAAUCGGAAUUACUGGGCGUAAAGCGCGCGUAGGUGGUUUGUUAAGUUGGAUGUGAAAGCCCCGGGCUCAACCUGGGAACUGCAUCCAAAACUGGCAAGCUAGAGUACGGUAGAGGGUGGUGGAAUUUCCUGUGUAGCGGUGAAAUGCGUAGAUAUAGGAAGGAACACCAGUGGCGAAGGCGACCACCUGGACUGAUACUGACACUGAGGUGCGAAAGCGUGGGGAGCAAACA